This 714-nucleotide ribosomal RNA is filed under the name uncultured euryarchaeote. Its description in RNAcentral is "bacterial SSU rRNA". The stretch from base 302 to 714 matches the Rfam family "Archaeal small subunit ribosomal RNA", at positions 1 to 847 of the family's 1478-position model. The record is from RNAcentral. Lineage: Archaea; Methanobacteriati; Methanobacteriota.
GGUCGUCGCUUUUAUUGGGCCUAAAACGUCCGUAGCCUGUUUGGUAAAUCUGUGGGUAAAUCAACYCGCUUAACKGGUUGAAUUCUGCAGAGACUGCCAGACUAGGGACCGGGAGAGGUGUGGGGUACUCUAGGGGUAGGGGUAAAAUCCUGUCAUCCUUAGAGGACCACCAGUUGCGAAGGCGCCACACUGGAACGGAUCCGACGGUCAGGGACGAAGCCUAGGGGCACGAACCGGAUUAGAUACCCGGGUAGUCCUAGGUGUAAACGCUGUGAACUUGGUGUCGGGGGUCCGCAAKGGGUCCCCGGUGCCGGAGUGAAGAUGUUAAGUUCACUGCCUGGGGAGUACGGUCGCAAGGGUCGUCGCUUUUAUUGGGCCUAAAACGUCCGUAGCCUGUUUGGUAAAUCUGUGGGUAAAUCAACYCGCUUAACKGGUUGAAUUCUGCAGAGACUGCCAGACUAGGGACCGGGAGAGGUGUGGGGUACUCUAGGGGUAGGGGUAAAAUCCUGUCAUCCUUAGAGGACCACCAGUUGCGAAGGCGCCACACUGGAACGGAUCCGACGGUCAGGGACGAAGCCUAGGGGCACGAACCGGAUUAGAUACCCGGGUAGUCCUAGGUGUAAACGCUGUGAACUUGGUGUCGGGGGUCCGCAAKGGGUCCCCGGUGCCGGAGUGAAGAUGUUAAGUUCACUGCCUGGGGAGUACGGUCGCAAG